RNAcentral lists this ribosomal RNA (447 nucleotides) under uncultured bacterium. RNAcentral describes it as "bacterial SSU rRNA". It matches the Rfam family "Bacterial small subunit ribosomal RNA", at positions 335 to 800 of the family's 1533-position model. The record is from RNAcentral.
ACUCCUACGGGAGGCAGCAGUGGGAAUCUUAGACAAUGGGGAAGCCAUCGAUCUAGCCAUGCCGCGUGGACGAUGAAGGCCUUAGGGUUGUAAAGUCCUUUCAGCUAGGGAAGAUAAUGACGGUACCAGCAGAAGAAGCCCCGGCUAACUCCGUGCCAGCAGCCGCGGUAAUACGGAGGGGCUAGCGUUGUUCGGAAUUACUGGGCGUAAAGCGCACGUAGGCGGACUAUUAAGUCAGGGGGUGAAAUCCCGGGGCUCAACCCCGGAACUGCCUUUGAUACUGGUAGUCUAGAGUUCGAGAGAGGUGAGUGGAACUCCGAGUGUAGAGGUGAAAUUCGUAGAUAUUCGGAAGAACACCAGUGGCGAAGGCGGCUCACUGGCUCGAUACUGACGCUGAGGUGCGAAAGCGUGGGGAGCAAACGGAUUAGAUACCCUGGUAGGCUCUGC